This 1291-nucleotide small RNA is filed under the name Chlorella vulgaris. RNAcentral's name for it is "eukaryotic LSU rRNA". The stretch from base 1 to 335 matches the Rfam family "Eukaryotic small subunit ribosomal RNA", at positions 1495 to 1831 of the family's 1831-position model. The record is from RNAcentral. Lineage: Eukaryota; Viridiplantae; Chlorophyta; Trebouxiophyceae; Chlorellales; Chlorellaceae.
GCGCUACACUGAUGCAUUCAACGAGCCUAGCCUUGGCCGAGAGGCCCGGGUAAUCUUUGAAACUGCAUCGUGAUGGGGAUAGAUUAUUGCAAUUAUUAAUCUUCAACGAGGAAUGCCUAGUAAGCGCAAGUCAUCAGCUUGCGUUGAUUACGUCCCUGCCCUUUGUACACACCGCCCGUCGCUCCUACCGAUUGGGUGUGCUGGUGAAGUGUUCGGAUUGGCGACCGGGUGCGGUCUCCGCUCUCGGCCGCCGAGAAGUUCAUUAAACCCUCCCACCUAGAGGAAGGAGAAGUCGUAACAAGGUUUCCGUAGGUGAACCUGCGGAAGGAUCAUUGAAUCGAUCGAAUCCACUCUGUGAACCAAACGUCCCCCCUUGGGUGCGGGCUUCGGUCUGCCCCAAGGCGUCGGUUCCCUGGCUGGGGUCUUCGGACCGCAGUUAGGUCCGGCGGGCGCGCCCUCUGGCGUGUCGGCCCUCGUGGCUGCCGCCAGUUGGGUUCGCUGGAAAUUGUAUCCAACUCAACCCACCCCAAACCACAACUUAUACUGAAGCAAUCGGUGAGUGCACUCUGGUGCCUCGCUCUAACCAAAGACAACUCUCAACAACGGAUAUCUUGGCUCCCGUAUCGAUGAAGAACGCAGCGAAAUGCGAUACGUAGUGUGAAUUGCAGAAUUCCGUGAACCAUCGAAUCUUUGAACGCAAAUUGCGCCCAAGGCUUCGGCCGAGGGCAUGUCUGCCUCAGCGUCGGCUUACCCCCUCGCUCCCCCUCUCCUUUGGAGUGGGUGAACGGAUCUGGUUUUCCCGGCUACGUGCUUCUGCACGCCCGGGUUGACUGAAGUGUAGAGGCUUGAGCAUGGACCCCGUUUGUAGGGCAAUGGCUUGGUAGGUAGCUUAGCUACACCGCCUGCCGUGGUCCGAGGGGACUUUGCUGGCGGCCCAGCAGGAAUUCGGGUGUUGGGUUUCCCACCCCGAAAGCUUCAAACCUUCGACCUGAGCUCAGGCAAGACUACCCGCUGAACUUAAGCAUAUCAAUAAGCGGAGGAAAAGAAACUAACUAGGAUGCCCUUAGUAACGGCGAGCGAACCGGGCAAAGCCCAACUUGAAAAUCUCCAGCCUCCGGCUGGCGAAUUGUAGUCUAGAGAAGUGCUCUCUGCCUCAGCCUGUUCCCAAGUCCCCUGGAAAGGGGCGUCAGAGAGGGUGAGAACCCCGUUGGGAUCGGAUCCUGAGGCUCCACGAGACGCUUUCGAAGAGUCGGGUUGUUUGGGAAUGCAGCCCAAAGCAGGUGGUAAAUCC